Molecule: long non-coding RNA, 1527 nt
Organism: Lathyrus oleraceus (garden pea)
Lineage: Eukaryota; Viridiplantae; Streptophyta; Magnoliopsida; Fabales; Fabaceae
Exons: 3
Source: RefSeq, a predicted model, not a curated record
ACACAUGAAAAACAUGUAACGCGUCAAACACGUGCUCUGAACAAUUCAAAUGAUUUCAUAUUCCAUCUCUUCCCUCCACCGCGCUAGAGCUCACUGUCAGCGGCGGUGGAGCAGCAUACCAUGAAAUAAAACAUACAUAAACACUCCAAAUUUCAAGCUCAGUUCAAAUCCACAAUCAGAAAUACCUAAUUCCUCAAAACAUUUCCAAAUCGAAGCAUGAAGAUCAAUAACCCUAAAACUUCCAACAAAAAUUAAAUGAAGGAUAGCAAGAAUCAGAGCCCUAGAUGUUAGGGCUUUGAUUUGUCUCAGCAAAGGCUACAUUGUGGUAACUUACUUGAAGUAAUUGAUGAAGAUAGAAGAUGCACUCACCGGAACAGGCGCCAGAAAUUUCAAGUAAUCUCUCUGAAAUUUCUCAUAUUUUCUUCUCCUUGCUUCUUCUUCUUCUAAACCUCUUCUGAAAUUGAGAAUCGUGUGAGUGGAAGAUGAAUUCGAGAGGGAGAGAAAGUCUGAGUUCUGAGAUUUCAAAAAUGAAUUAUGAUUGAGAGUGAUUUAAAGUGAUUGAAGAUGAUUGAAUAUUUGAGAGACUUUAAUGAAUAAGGGUGAAAGGUAUUUAUAGAGGAUGUGAUUCACGGAUUUGUUAACUCAGUUAGAUGGUGAAAGUGGAAAUCAGUUGGCAGUUAGACACGGGGUUAAAUCAGUUAGUUGAGUUAGUUAGUUUGAUUCAGUUAGUGUUAAAUGAGAUGGAACUGAAUUUCAGAUGUGGUUAACUGGUUUUGAAUGAAAAAAGAUUUUCUACUAUAAUUGCAAUUUCUGUUAAGUGAGUUAAACUCAUUUGUAAUUUUUUGUUAAGGUGCAGUUAAGUCUGUUAGUUGAUUGGAAAUGUAGGUUAAGUAGUUAAUGCAAAUGAUUGUUAGCUAUUAUGGAUUAAAUGUUAGGUAAUGAUGAAAUUUUGCUUUGAAGACUUGCUCGGUUUUGAAUUGGUCCUGCUGAAUGCAAUGAAAUAUUGUUGUUAAUGUAAACUGAAUGCAAUGUGAAUGAUGAUGUGUUGCUAUUGCAUGUAUAUUGGUUUGUUCAAGAUUGUUUUGUAUGGAUCUGAACUGAUGCAGGUGUUUGUGAUCAGGCUGCUGCGGGGCCAUGCUUGGAGUGCAGAACAUGGUUCAAGGCUGAUAUGAUGAUGACCAUGGUUUGAUGUAGCAUAUGGCAGGGCAAUGUUUGUAUGUUGUUUGCAGCAAGUUACAACAUGAUACAUGUGUGUGGUAGGAUGCAAUGCAGGGGCUUGUGAGGCAAGGCAAGGCAAAUGACCUAAGUGGCAACUUGGCAAGACAUGGUUUACAAGGCAAAAAUGACCAUGGUCAUGGCAUGGUGUGGUCACUUUUAAAAAAAGGGAAUUUCUUGUUUGUAAAGUCAUACGGGAACUCAUGAAUCAUGUAUGGAUAGAAUGCAAUUAGAAUUAGGUUUAGGAUGAAAAAAUGUAAUGGUUGACUUUGGUCAACUGGUUGACCAAAAAGUCAACAGUUCAUCAAAAGU